UUUCUUCUUCGCUCGAGAAAGAAACAACAGCAGAACCUUGGUGAGGAAAAUCCUUGUCGAUAUCUCUCCCUUGCGGUUCUCCAGUGAUUCAAAAUCUCCCACGGUUUACUGUCAAUUUCAUCGGUUUUGUCAUGAUUGGAACAAACAUCUCAUCGAUCAGUUUGCUCAGUUUCGAUCUCAAUUCUCUCCAUUAUCUUCCCCACUCAAUAUCUCUCUUGGUUUGCUUCUUCUGUUUCCAGAAAUCUCUCAACCGAAAAUACAACAACAACAAAGGCAACACUAUGUUCUCACUCGCUCUUCUCUUCCACUAUACUUGGUCUCAAACAAUAAUUCACUUCUAAUCUCAACUUUCUUUCUUUUAAUCCAUACUUCUGAAUCAGUAAAAUGAUACGCCCUUAAGCUCUCGGUUCAUAUUCGGUUUUUCCUUUUUUUUUUUAUUUAAAUUUAUCGUUCUUUUAUCUUUUUUCAAACGUGACAGUAACUGCAGGUAUUGUCAAUUUCAUAGUUCGAGCAGCGAAAAAAGAAGAAGCAAAAUCUAGCUUCCAAAUCAUGUUUUCAAACAAGCAAUAAAAUAGAGCAGCAGGCCAACUAUCAAUCAUGAAGACAUAAGAGUAAUAGCAUAGGCAGAGAAACUUACCGACGGCAGGAGAUUUCCCGGUGUUUGUUGAAAUUAAAGCUGACAAAGAAACCAGAAAACCAGAGACCUUUGCAGAGGACAGCAGCAGAUUUUUGGACUAUUGGUUUGGCCGGAUACAAGGUUUUUUGGCAUGUUGUGGACAGGCACAAGGACAGCAGCAGCAGCAGCAGGGCUGAUUUGUGCAGUAUGUUUGGACAGCAACUAGUGGUGAAGUUUGAAGAUUGAGACAAAAGAAAAAGUUAGAGAUUGGUGAAUUAAGAUAAAGCUUAGGAUUAGAAUAAGUUGUGAUGUAAACCCUUGUAACUUUGAUGCAUUUCCUUGAUGUAAUGAUGAUGAUGGAUUGUAACUUGCACACUUGAAUGAAUUGAAAUCAAAGGCUUUAUUUGAA
Vicia villosa (hairy vetch) is the source of this 1025-nucleotide long non-coding RNA. RefSeq lists it as uncharacterized. The record is from RefSeq and is a predicted model, not a curated record. The transcript is spliced from 2 exons. NCBI's taxonomy places the organism in Eukaryota, Viridiplantae, Streptophyta, Magnoliopsida, Fabales, Fabaceae.